This 73-nucleotide transfer RNA is filed under the name Stegodyphus mimosarum. It matches the Rfam family "tRNA". From Rfam's summary of the family: Transfer RNA (tRNA) molecules are approximately 80 nucleotides in length. Lineage: Eukaryota; Metazoa; Arthropoda; Arachnida; Araneae; Eresidae. The record is from Rfam by way of RNAcentral.
GCCUUCGUGGUGUAAUGGUCAGCACGCUCGGCGCGUAUUCGAGAGGUCCGUGGUUCGAAUCCCGGCGAUGGCA